AGCUCAUUUGCCAGUGGAGAGUUCCAGCGUGCUGGAAUGUCGGCUUUGCCCAGAUGGGACUGCUCAUCGCAAACCCAGCUGUCAGUUUCACCUUAGGAAUGUCUGGCUUUAAUCCAAACUAGUACUGACCAGUCCAGCCUUUCUCGACAACACCAUCAUUUCUCUCAGGGGCUGUUUUCCCCCACCAUCUGGCAGGGAAUUAUUUUAUUAGCUGAAAUACAACGAGGGUUGGGCUCAGGCAGGAGAGGAGAGUGUCCGUGAUGUUCUCAGGAAACAAGAAGCUGAACGCUUAGCCUGAGACAAAUCCUAUUAGCAACAACAUGGAUCUGUGGAAAGAUUCUGUCAGCGACUCUGAGGACAGACAGGAAUGUGACAGGAGAGACGUGCCGAAGCUGUCAGAGCUGCGGUCUCAGCAUGGGAGAUUCUACCUCCUGGGAGGCAUUUUGGAAAGGUAUGGGAUGGUGAUGGUGUUGUCCCAACAGUGGUGGCAGGGCACGAUGGAUAUUCAGAGGGUGAGGUCCAUGCGGCGAAGAGGACAACUUCAGCCCAUGCAGAAUUGCCCCACUUCCUGCUUGACUUUCUAAUGUGCCUCUGGACACUAAAUAGAUGAAAAACUUAUUUGUAAACUCUAUUUUCCCCAUGAACAAAAGUUGUUUUU
Molecule: long non-coding RNA, 658 nt
Filed under: Equus caballus (horse)
Lineage: Eukaryota; Metazoa; Chordata; Mammalia; Perissodactyla; Equidae
Description: lncRNA (ENSECAG00000051111.1)
Source: RNAcentral